This 426-nucleotide ribosomal RNA is filed under the name uncultured bacterium. RNAcentral describes it as "bacterial SSU rRNA". It matches the Rfam family "Bacterial small subunit ribosomal RNA", at positions 506 to 930 of the family's 1533-position model. The record is from RNAcentral.
GGCCAGCAGCCGCGGUAAUACGUAGGGUGCAAACGUUAUCCGGAUUUACUGGGCGUAAAGCGCUCGUAGGUGGACAGAAAAGUCAAAUGUGAAAGACCCAGGCUCAACCUGGGGAACGCAUCUGAAACUUUCUGACUUGAGGUGUGCAGGGGAAGAUGGAACUUACGGUGGAGCAGUGAAAUGCGUAGAUAUCGUAAGGAACGCCAAUGGUGAAGACAGUCUUCUGGGCACUACCUGACACUGAGGAGCGAAAGCGUGGGGAGCGAACGGGAUUAGAUACCCCGGUAGUCCACGCCGUAAACGAUGCAUACUAGGAAUUUGGAGAAUCGACCCUCCGAGUUUCGAAGCUAACGCGUUAAGUAUGCCGCCUGGGUAGUACGGCCGCAAGGCUAAAACUCAAAGGAAUUGACGGGGGCCCGCACAAGU